Molecule: long non-coding RNA, 4960 nt
Filed under: Sus scrofa (pig)
Lineage: Eukaryota; Metazoa; Chordata; Mammalia; Artiodactyla; Suidae
Description: lncRNA (ENSSSCG00025035468.1)
Source: RNAcentral
UGCAGCAUAUGGAAGUUCCCAGGCUAGGGGUCGAAUCAGAGCUAUAGCUGCUGGCCUGUGCCACAGCCAUAGCAAUGCCAGAUCCCAGCCACAUCUGCAACCUGCUCUACGGCUCAUGGCAACGCCGGAUCCAUUAACCCACUGAGUGAGGCCAGGGAUCAAACAUGCAUCCUCAUGGAAACUAGUCAGGUCCUUAACCUGCUGAGCCAGAAUGGGAACUUCACUUCGCAAAUUCUUAUUUGGACCCAUAUACCCACAUAUAUCCACACACCCCCUGUGCAGCAUACAUUGUUGAGGGUAUGCAGCUCAGACUUAAACCAGUUAUCCAAAUCCCUGGCUGCAACUAAUGAUUCAGAUAUAGAUCAAGACAAAGACGCAAGAGGAGAAGUGUGCUGUUUGUUCUGGAGAAAGCAGCUAAUCUGUUCUUCUUAAGAGAGUGGCUGGAAAAGGAAAAGGAAAAGCAAAACUUCUUGCAAACAUGAGAAGAUGACAGUUUGAGAAAGACACUGACUCUAUAAAAGUAUGAGAAACUGAGAAAGGGUCCUUUUUGACUUAUCUGAUGCAAUAUAUUAGAGCUAGCAUGAACCCUAUCAAGCGGGAUGGAUAUGUUAUAUAAGAGAAAAUUUUAUUGCUCAGGUCCAGUGGACCUGGGUUUUCUGUUAGAAGCAAGCAAAACGACUUUAGUGAAUACAAAUGCCUAAGCCUCACAUUAUUAUGGUGAACAUAUAUAUGUGUGUCCCUCUCCCUCAGCAGACCAUGAGGUCCACGGUUUCCCAAGAGCUUCCACAGGGCAGGGGAAAGCCCUGGCAGCAUCCUCAUGCCCCUAGUCCCUGGCCCACAUUAAGCUGUCAAAGAAGGGCUAUUGGGUGUAAUGGAACUGAGGUAGGUGGUCAUCCCACUUGCUCUGAGGAAUUUCUAAAGCAACACAAUGACUUUUCGCUUCUUCAUGCAUAGUCCCAAUUUGUCUUUCCUUGCAUUUCUUGUCUCCUGGUUGCCUGACACCUCCCACACGUCAAAUCCACACGGCCACUCAAGGCCAAUCAUCUCAAUCUCCCAAACCAAAGUCCCCCCCAACUCCCCGCCCACUUCUCUUCCUCUCCACUUCUGACAUCUUGUUCUGACCACCCUCCUGCCCACUUUGGGUGACUGACACUGUCCUCAAACCCAUCACCUGAUGCAAGUCCUGCCUCCUGCCUCUCUUGUCUCCACCCUGCAGAAAGAGUGAUGACUCUAAAUGAACAUGAUGGAAGAUAAUACAAGAAAAAGAAUGUGUAUAUAUGUAUGACUGGGUCACUAUGUUAAACAGCAGAAAUCGACACAACAGUGUAAAUCAAUUAUACUUUAAUUUAAAAAAAAAACUUUAAGUUAAAAAAAUAAAAUAAAAUGCAGAUCUGGCCAUGCUGCUCCCAUGAUGGAACGACCUUGCUGGACCCCCAGAUGCUCUCAGGUUAACAUCCAAAUCCCUGAUUAUUCCAAGCAGCUCUUGGAGAUGUGGCCCAUCUCAUCUUUCCAGCCUCACUUUACUCUACCCUGCUUGUCCCCACAUACAGUAAUACUUCUGGAUGGCCACCUGCACUUCUAUCACAGUGAGUCCUCCCCCAGGGCCAGUACAUAUGCUUCCCGCUCUACCUGGAAAAACCUUCCUCCAGUUCUUCUGCACAAAUCCUCCUUCCCCUUCAGAGGCCGUUUUAACUACCACCUCCUCCAAGAAAACUUCUAUUCUUCCCUCUGCCACCCAGUCUGGGACUAGCCCCUCCUCAUACACUUAAAAACAAUCUCAAAUUACCACUUUCACAGCACUUGUUAUACUGCAUUAUCUUCAACGAUUUAUAUGUCUCUUCUGCCAGGCUUUCAACCAACUGCAAGCAGCCAAGUACCUUUAGGAAUCAUGUCAUAUUCACCACUGAGUACUCAGAGCUGUGCUCCGUACACGGUAGGUGCUCAGUAAGCUCUUUUAAUGUGAAUCAGUGAGUUCAGAGAAUGAAGAAAAUAUUGGACAAUCAGAAACAUUCCCCUUCCAACUUCAUUUUCUCACUUUAAGACCUUAUCCGUGAGGACAUGGGUUUGAUCCCUAGCCUCAUUCAGUAGGUUAAUGAUCUGGUGCUGCUGUGAGCUGUGGUGUAAGUUGCAGACACAGCGUGGAUCCAGCACUGCUGUGGCUGUGGCGUACGCCGGCAGCUGCAGCUCCAAUUCCACCCCUAGCCUGGGAACUUCCAUAGGCCAUGGGGGUGGCCCUAAAAAGACAAAAAAAAAAAAAAAAUUCAUUCACUCAUAAUUCCACAAAAUAACGUCCCUUAAGCUGAAAAGUUGUUAGCAAACAACCCUUCCACAGCCAAUGUCACCCUUCACUGUGAUACUUAUACCACUCUGUUCUGCAUGAAUGUCUGCAUGAAUCUAAUUCAAGAUGAACUUCCAGCCAUUACACAGAAAACACAGAGUGUGAGUGCACGUAAAGUUUAAGCCCUGAUACAGCUUUCUUUUUUUCCUAGUCCCAGUAGGAAAAAGAGAAGAUUCCAAAUCAAAAAUGGGAUGAAACAGUCUAAGUUCCCCUCACUCCUGGCAGAACAUGCUACAUCUCCAUAGGGGAGGUGUUGUUGUUCAGGGUCUGCAGGUCUCCUCGGAGCCUGGGGAGAAACAGCUCCUCUCCAGCAGAUCUCCCUAGGGGUAACAGCAGCACCCCAGGCUGAACUAGAGGGAUGGCCAUUGGCAGUUCUGUUGCCAGGACAACAGGAGAAGGCCUUCUCAACAAGGAUAGCCUGGUGUUCAGAAGCCGGGGUGCCCAGACACAAGUAAAUGCAUCCCUCUCACACCCCCAUCCAGUCCCUUAAAAGUAUUUAUCUAAGAUCCCAUUAUAAUUUUACUGUUUUAAUUUAGUAUUGUGCUACAUUUGCCAGAUAAAAUAUUGAACUCCCAGGUAAAACUGAAUUUCAGGUGAACAAGGAUUUUUAGCGUAAAUACUUCAGUUGAACAGUGAACAAUUUUAGUGUAAGUAUGACCCAUAUAAUAUUUUGGAUAUACUUAUACUAAAAUAUUCAGUUUAUCUGUAAUUCGUACUUAAAAGGGAGUUCUAUAUUAGUUCCUAAAGCUGCCAAACCUGUAUAUGGCAUCAAAACUCAAACUACUGCUUCUCUCUCUUUUUUUUUGCCAUGCCUGCUACAUAUGGAAGUUCCCAGGCUAGGGGUCAAAUCGGAGCUGCCACUGGGGCCACAGCCACAGCAAUAUCGGAUCUGAGCCACAUCUGGGACCCACACUGCAGUUACAGCAACACCUGAUCCUUAACGCACUGAGCAAGGCCAGGGAUCAAAUCCGCAUACUCAUACUCUGCCAGUUCUUAACCUACUGAGCCACAACAGGAACUCCAGCCUUUUCCUUUAAAGUCUGUAAGCUUCAACUAAUUGAGUAGACAGUCUAGUAACCAAAGAAAAAAGUUUGGAUAUAAAGCAAGAGUCUCAAAGGGGGAUUAUCCCAGGGACCCUUAUAAAACAAUGAUUCAACCAGGGCAUAUAGUAUGGAUUAUUUUCUGAUAUGUUUGCUUCAGUGAAAGGGUCUGCAUGAUGGUGGGGCGGGGGGAGACUUUUUUCCUUUCAACUGGGAUCUGUGUGUAAGGGUCAAACAACUUGAGCUACCCACUUUCCCCAAGGGGUAAAUGUUAAAGACAUCACUGGCCCCCCAGAAGGUUCACUCACCUCUCUCAGACCAUCAAAAGCUGGCCCAGCAAUUCCUGGGAGCUCAUCCUCUCAUUUCUCCUGAUCUCAACCACACCUGGAGCUGGAUUAGUAACUCCACAAGCAAGAAAAGAACUGGGUUGCGCGAGCAAAAAGACACUAUGGAAAUCCUCCUGGGGCUCCUCAAGAGAAAACGAGUCCAACCUUCUGCAUUAGUUAGCUUGACUCAUUUGCUGUUCAUGGUGAGGAGACUGAAUUACAGCAGCCUAUAAUAGUUAAAUAGGAAUGUUUUCCUUGGCUCAUUGCUCUGUGGCGAAAUUUCCCCAGCAGUCACUGAUGCCAUCCCCAGCACCCUAAAUAGCAAAAAAAUGUGCCCCAUUCUCUCUGCUAGUGUCUUCACAGGCUAUUGGGUAAGGUUUCUCUAUCAGGGUUUUCAGGUAAGUUCCCUGUCAUUUGCCUUUUAUUUUCUGUGCAUCAUCUUUGAAAAAAAAAAGUCUGAAUUCAAAACUUAUUUCUAAGUCAGAAAGAAGAUUCAAGUUUCUUUUCUAAAGCAGAGACACCCUCUUCCCUCUUCUUGAUGUGUCAUCAGCAGCUUUAAAAGCAAUCCCCUUGUGUCUGUCACAGUGACUCGGAAAACUAGGCCAGUGAUGAUUCUGUCAUUUAUUGGUUCUGCAGAAUAUGUGCCCUACCAUCUUCCAUUUCUAUGCUUCAAAAUACUAAGCAGGCCACACCGAGACAUCUUUUCAUUGCAAAGUACUCUGCGUAAUGGUUUUGGAACACUGGUAGGGGAACAGAGGUGCAGAGACGGGGCACUUCUGAGUAAUUGCUGUUUAUUUCUGUGGCAAAUCACUACUUGGGAAAACAUGUAUUUGAGGGACAUUUAAGGUUUGGCAUUUCCAUCCUUGGAACUGCCAUUUGCGUGGUGACAUUUGAAACUUGACCAUCCCAGACUGCCUGGUUGCCAGACAGCAGCCACUUUGGCAAGAGGUAACUCCAGAGGGAAGAGAAGAGCCUGUCUUCUAAAAGGAAUGAAUAAAUGUCUGCUCAGGCCCCUCUAUCAGCCCAAACAAGCAGCUGCAUUCAAAAGGUUUCUCCUAUCUUGCAGAGCCAGAAAAGGUGAGCUGUUCCAGGCAAGGCCAGAAAAAAAAAAAAAUGUACUAGAAUGUGUGGGGAGAGAAAAACAAAAAACAAAAAAACCCACUUAUUUCUUAAAGGAGAAUGGCAGAGCUCAAAGUAGGAUAAGGAUGAGCAAGCAGCCCACCUUCUCUGCACAAGCAGCCACCUUCUCUGCACAA